RNAcentral lists this ribosomal RNA (253 nucleotides) under uncultured bacterium. RNAcentral describes it as "partial 16S ribosomal RNA". It matches the Rfam family "Bacterial small subunit ribosomal RNA", at positions 524 to 776 of the family's 1533-position model. The record is from RNAcentral.
UACAGAGGGGGCAAGCGUUAUUCGGAAUUAUUGGGCGUAAAGGGCGCGUAGGCGGCAUCGCAAGUGGAAGGUGAAAUCCCUCGGCUUAACCGAGGAACUGCCCUCCAAACUGCUUCGCUUGAGACCGGGAGAGGUGAGUGGAAUUCCCAGUGUAGCGGUGAAAUGCGUAGAUAUUGGGGGGAACACCAGUGGCGAAGGCGGCUCACUGGACCGGUACUGACGCUGAUGCGCGAAAGCGUGGGGAGCAAACGGG